GCGUUCGGACUAUUUCCUUCACGUACCGGAGCGAGUUUAUGUUGAAUAUAGAACGUUGCGUCAUUUCCGGCGUAGUUGAAGUUCGUGAAAGCAACUUGGUGUCUGCCUUCGUCUGUUUUCCUUUCAUUCUGGUUGCUGUCUACAUAGCUGAUUAACCGUGAAAGUCCUGCGCAGAGAAAUGCAAUUACAAGGCAACUUGUAUGAUCCUUCCGGAAUACAGAACAUGCGGUUGGUUCACAUGCAACUGGCGUUCUUUGUGGUGCGCUGUUUCGAAUACAAAUCUGUAAGCUUAUGUAACGUGACACAUUCGGUCAGAUUAAAAUGUCCGACCAUUGUGAUCUGAUACCUGAUUUUUCGAAAGAUAAAUCCGUGACGUAGUUGAGACGAAUAAGGUGGAUUUCAUUGCCUGACACCAAGACUUCGUUAAUUUAUCGCCUCAAAGAAAAAAAAAACUAAUAGAUUUCUACACCAAUCAUGUUGUUUACAUUAUACAAUAAUUACCCUCAACAAAAUUGGGAAUUUUUCAAACAUCUGUAACGUCUAAGUAAGAUAUGAGGUUUUCGAGUCGGUGAGUCUGAAGAUGGUUGAUUGGCAAAUAAACUUAUACCAGACUACACGGCGCUAAGACCCAGAAGGCAGUCAUCUUCAUCUAUGACAUCUAUAUAUCAUUUUGGUACACUCCAGUAAAUAGCACGAGUGUAGCUUCCACCUCCCAUAAUAAUAAUGUUGGAAGAAAAUAAGAUAGUAGGUUAGGGUAGCCUCCAGUGACCUGACGUUCAUACUGAAUUUUUCUAAAAUUUAUCAAAUUUCCUAAAAGUUAGAGGA
Zootermopsis nevadensis is the source of this 825-nucleotide non-coding RNA. NCBI's taxonomy places the organism in Eukaryota, Metazoa, Arthropoda, Insecta, Blattodea, Termopsidae. The record is from RefSeq and is a predicted model, not a curated record.